UUGCUCACUCACUUCAGCAGCACAUACACUAAAAUUGGAACAAUACAGAAGAUGUGCAUGACUCCCACUGAAGGGAGACACAAAACCUCGUUAAGCAUUCUGUAUUUUC
Small nuclear RNA from Peromyscus californicus insignis, 109 nucleotides. The record is from RefSeq and is a predicted model, not a curated record. NCBI's taxonomy places the organism in Eukaryota, Metazoa, Chordata, Mammalia, Rodentia, Cricetidae.